Molecule: ribosomal RNA, 362 nt
Filed under: uncultured eukaryote
Lineage: Eukaryota
Description: SSU rRNA
Rfam family: Eukaryotic small subunit ribosomal RNA
Source: RNAcentral
AGCUCCAAUAGCGUAUGUUAAAGUUGCUGCGUCAAAAAAGCUCGUAGUUGGAUUUCUGUUGAGAAUGGUCGGUCCGCUUUACGAGCGUGUAUCUGAUUCAGUCUCGGCAUCCUCUUGAGGAACGUUGCUGCGCUUCACUGCGUGGCGCGGUAUUCAAGACUUUUACUUUGAGGAAAUUAGAGUGUUCACGGCAGGCAAUCGCCCUGAAUAUAUUAGCAUGGAAUAAUAAUAUAGGACCUUGGCCCUAUUUUGUUGGUUUCUAGGACUAAGGUAAUGAUUAAUAGGGAUAGUUGGGGGGCACUUGUAUCAAGGCGUCAGAGGUGGAAUUCUUGGAUUGCCUUGCGACAAACUACUGCGAAAGC